RNAcentral lists this transfer RNA (88 nucleotides) under Thermodesulfovibrio yellowstonii DSM 11347. RNAcentral describes it as "tRNA-Leu". It matches the Rfam family "tRNA". Rfam says of the family: Transfer RNA (tRNA) molecules are approximately 80 nucleotides in length. Their secondary structure includes four short double-helical elements and three loops (D, anti-codon, and T loops). Further hydrogen bonds mediate the characteristic L-shaped molecular structure. tRNAs have two regions of fundamental functional importance: the anti-codon, which is responsible for specific mRNA codon recognition, and the 3' end, to which the tRNAs corresponding amino acid is attached (by aminoacyl-tRNA synthetases). tRNAs cope with the degeneracy of the genetic code in two manners: having more than one tRNA (with a specific anti-codon) for a particular amino acid; and 'wobble' base-pairing, i.e. permitting non-standard base-pairing at the 3rd anti-codon position. Lineage: Bacteria; Pseudomonadati; Nitrospirota; Thermodesulfovibrionia; Thermodesulfovibrionales; Thermodesulfovibrionaceae. The record is from RNAcentral.
UGCCGGUGUGGUGGAACGGCAGACGCGGCGGACUCAAAAUCCGCUGGGAGCAAUCCCGUGUGGGUUCAAAUCCCACCACCGGCAUAUU